Molecule: long non-coding RNA, 243 nt
Organism: Perca fluviatilis (European perch)
Lineage: Eukaryota; Metazoa; Chordata; Actinopteri; Perciformes; Percidae
Exons: 3
Source: RefSeq, a predicted model, not a curated record
GGCACCGUCUCCCCCCGACGAUGGCUGCGACGGUUCUUGUCUUGUCCCUGCCAGCUCCCUCUGCGGGACGUGCUUGCACGCCAGGCCCGCUGGAUCCUGAGAACACAGGUGCUGUUGUUGCUCACGGCGACUUGGGCUAUUGUCAUCCUCUCCCUCACCCCUACAAGGACGGCUUCUAUGAGAACGACAAGGUGCCAACCAGCCAGACACCGGAAGCAGGCCAGGGGGCGAGUCCGAUGUCAG